UACAGAGGGGGCCAGCGUUGUUCGGAAUUACUGGGCGUAAAGGGCGCGUAGGCGGCCUGCUAAGUCGAACGUGAAAUCCCUGGGCUCAACCCAGGAACUGCGUCCGAUACUGGCAGGCUUGAAUCCGGGAGAGGGAUGCGGAAUUCCAGGUGUAGCGGUGAAAUGCGUAGAUAUCUGGAGGAACACCGGUGGCGAAGGCGGCAUCCUGGACCGGCAUUGACGCUGAGUGAGCGAAAGCCAGGGGAGCAAACGGG
Molecule: ribosomal RNA, 254 nt
Filed under: uncultured bacterium
Lineage: Bacteria
Description: partial 16S ribosomal RNA
Rfam family: Bacterial small subunit ribosomal RNA
Source: RNAcentral